Molecule: ribosomal RNA, 253 nt
Filed under: uncultured bacterium
Lineage: Bacteria
Description: partial 16S ribosomal RNA
Rfam family: Bacterial small subunit ribosomal RNA
Source: RNAcentral
GACAGAGGGUGCGAACGUUGUUCGGAAUUACUGGGCGUAAAGCGCGUGUAGGCGGCAACGCAAGUCGGGCGUGAAAUCCCACGGCUCAACUGUGGAAGUGCACUCGAAACUGCGUAGCUAGAGUCCUGGAGAGGAAGGUGGAAUGCUUGGUGUAGAGGUGAAAUUCGUAGAUAUCAAGCGGAACACCGGUGGCGAAGGCGGCCUUCUGGACAGUGACUGACGCUGAGACGCGAAAGCGUGGGGAGCGAACAGG